Monopterus albus (swamp eel) is the source of this 485-nucleotide long non-coding RNA. RefSeq lists it as uncharacterized. NCBI's taxonomy places the organism in Eukaryota, Metazoa, Chordata, Actinopteri, Synbranchiformes, Synbranchidae. The transcript is spliced from 3 exons. The record is from RefSeq and is a predicted model, not a curated record.
CACUCCUGCUUUGGGAGAGAGAGAAACUAGGUGCUAAGUAUAAUUUCUUAUCUUUUCAUUAUUCUAGGUUGUGGCCAGCACCAGGCAACAGAAGCGCUGUGGAGUGUGUGGACCCAAAAAGGACAGAAAAACACAAUGUACAUGCAUCAAGUGCAAGACAUGAUAAAAUGUAAUCUAACAAAGUACAUCACUCCUGGACCCACUGCAGGAAUGACCCUCCAGCUGCUGCAUCCAUGUGUUCACUGCUGUCCAUGGACGCACAGAAUGGACAUGUCAGAGCUUCAUCAGCACUGGAAGAGGGAGGAAGUGUUGUGCUCCAGUCAAGUGGCGGUCUGAAGUGUCCAGGAAGGUCUUGGGGUGUCCACAGGUAGACACGUCAGGACAGCUCCUCCAGCAGCCGACGCAGCUUCAGUGAACAAGAAACCCUUCAUCCCUAAUCUAUCAUAAAAGUGAUGGAUUAGCUACUUUUUAAAAACUAUAGCCUA